UGUGUUGUGGCUCAGUGGUAGAGCACUUGCCUAGUAUGUAUGAGGCACUGGGUUCAAUCCUCAGCACCACAU
This 72-nucleotide transfer RNA is filed under the name Marmota marmota marmota (Alpine marmot). It matches the Rfam family "tRNA". From Rfam's summary of the family: Transfer RNA (tRNA) molecules are approximately 80 nucleotides in length. Lineage: Eukaryota; Metazoa; Chordata; Mammalia; Rodentia; Sciuridae. The record is from Rfam by way of RNAcentral. RNAcentral also lists the same sequence under 1 other name.